This 450-nucleotide ribosomal RNA is filed under the name uncultured bacterium. Its description in RNAcentral is "partial 16S ribosomal RNA". It matches the Rfam family "Bacterial small subunit ribosomal RNA", at positions 354 to 796 of the family's 1533-position model. The record is from RNAcentral.
GUGGGGAAUCUUCCGCAAUGGACGAAAGUCUGACGGAGCAACGCCGCGUGAGUGAUGAAGGUCUUCGGAUUGUAAAGCUCUGUUAAUCGGGACGAAAGAGCCUAGUGUGAAUAAUGCUAGGAAGUGACGGUACCGGAAUAGAAAGCCACGGCUAACUACGUGCCAGCAGCCGCGGUAAUACGUAGGUGGCAAGCGUUGUCCGGAAUUAUUGGGCGUAAAGCGCGCGCAGGCGGAUCUGCCAGUCUGUCUUAAAAGUUCGGGGCGUAACCCCGUGAUGGGAUGGAAACUACAGAUCUAGAGUAUCGGAGAGGAAAGUGGAAUUCCUAGUGUAGCGGUGAAAUGCGUAGAUAUUAGGAAGAACACCAGUGGCGAAGGCGACUUUCUGGACGAAAACUGACGCUGAGGCGCGAAAGCCAGGGGAGCGAACGGGAUUAGAAACCCCGGUAGUCC